RNAcentral lists this long non-coding RNA (3118 nucleotides) under Cucumis sativus (cucumber). Its description in RNAcentral is "long non-coding RNA (CSAT_LNC002913)". The record is from RNAcentral. Lineage: Eukaryota; Viridiplantae; Streptophyta; Magnoliopsida; Cucurbitales; Cucurbitaceae.
UCAUUUCAUACACAUAUGCCUCAACAGCAUUUUUCUUCUCUUUGGUCUCCUCCAUUACCCGAUCCUGUAAAGCCAUUUCAAACUCCUUUUCCACCGCUUUUUGGACAUCAGCAGCUGCCAAUCCACCAUAAAUCAUUUCCACUACCGGUAUGUUGGUUUUCUUUACCUUUUUCUUCUGUGCUUCAACCUGAAUGCCAAGAUAUCAGCUAGGUACAAUACAAGAACUACCUACCCACAGAAAACUACUGUGUACCCACCCAACACAACACACCAUGAACCUAAAUUGCUAGAGAAAUAAUAAGCUAAGUUACUCCAACUCAAGUUGCAACUCUAAGACCCUUCAGGGACUCCCAAAGAAAAUGUUAGGCCACCUACUACAAUAUAGUAGGAAGGGUAGUAAGGGAAAAGCACGUGUUUGUGGGAGUGUGGCUGCUGAGAGAACAUUGGGGGACCACAGUUUGUUGAGCAGCCUUUGCCUAUUUCUAUCAAAUAAAUUUUUGUUAGAACGGUGUUCUAUUUUCAACCUGGGACGGAUCAAUAGAACGGUUUAAUUAUCUUAUGAGACAUUGGAGGUGUUUGAACAGGAUGUUUCUGAAUUUAUAUUUUGCUUUUUUAAAAAAAAUUAACUUCCCUGAACUUUUAUUAUUCACACGAGUAUUAUUUAUCUAAAAUUCUAAUGUGUAAAAAGGAUGAAGUACAUUUUAAAUCUUUCAAUUAAGUAUUUCACACACUGAAAUAGAAUAAAAAGAGAAGAAAAUGAAGAAGUAUUCAACACACUGAAAUAGAAUGUUAAAAGAAAGUGGGGAAAAAAUCAGAACCAUGAUGAAGUAGAAUGAAAAGAGAAGGAAAAGGAGACCAGGAUAAUAAGAAAGCCAAUUAGGAAGUGUGACUUCGGAAAUCGAACUGAGAAAAGGCAGAGUUUAAUAUGCCAUAGACCUCCAACUUUACCACACAGACUAUAGCUUAUAAUUCCUAGAUUUAAUUAUUGAGAAAUAAAAAUUAUCCAUAUCGAUAGAGCCCACACAAGAUAAUAUGGAGAAUUCCCCGUACUCACCUUGGAAUCUGUCUCCAUUUGUACGGAAUGUUCUGACUCUGCACUACCAUUUUCAGCUCCAGCAUCUGUGGUUCCUUUGGCAUCUUGCAUGUUAACAUCGUUCUCAUUAGAACUGGGAGGGGCAGCAGUUUCAGCAGGAGCUUCAUCAGUCUCCAUUUUAGCUGGCUGUUCCCUGGUGACUGGAAUAUCCACGUCCUCCUCUUCUAACAGCUAAACCCACACAAAUUCCGCCAUCAGAGAAGAUUAAAGACACAAAAUAAGGAGGAAAGACCAAUAGAUGACUUACUGUCGCUGAUUCAACAGAGACAAUUCCGUGCAAAUUAAGUCGAACCUUCACUUUCACCUUUGAUCUUCCACCUUUAGAAGAUUGAAACGGACCGAUCUGGAUAUGCACAUUACCAACAACUUAAUUUCCAUUACAUAACAGAAAAUGCUCAAACUACUCAAAUAUUGAAGUUUAACCCUUACCGUAUAUGUACUGAUCUUUGCUUGCUGAUCAGAAUCAGUAUAGUGUACAUCAACACUAAAUGUGCCAGACCGAUAAAACGUGAGAGCCUUAACACUAGGUAUAGGGUUCCCCUUGGGAAAGACAACAGUGCUCUGCUGAUUGUCCACUGCCCCAUUUUGAGAAUCUGAAGCAGCACCUUUCCACGAGAGAGCUAUGUUAAAUGGGAAGUGCUCGUUUACCUUCAAAAGGGAAAACCAAAAAAUCAGGGAGGAAAUGCAAAAAAUCCUAUGUUCUUGAAAGUUUAGCUGAAUUGCAGAAAUGAUGAACUUCAAACUACCGCUACCAAUCAGAUACAUUGAACUAUGACACAUGUUCCAUCAAAAGUUAAUGAAAAGAUAAACAUUCCUAUAUGUGUGAAUAGUGCACAAGUGAACGCAAAAACAAUAAAUCUCUAUUCGUUAAGAACAUAUUAGUCAAAGGACAGUCUAAAGGAAAAUUUCAAUUGUAGUGAUUCAAUCGGUGCUCUUACCUGAAAUUCUCGCACUUUGAAUGUGGGACUGAGGAUUGCGCACUGAAGGGCACUACCUCUUGCAACACACUCACUUGCAUUCAUAGUACGCCUAGGCUCCUUUUUGAAGAAGUCUGUCAGUAUUUUGAUUAUAGCAGGGACACGAGACCCUGAACCAACGACUUCAACUACGUGGAUAUUCUCAAUGGUAAGACCAGCUUCUGCAAGAGCCUGCUCCAGAGGUCCUUUCACACGUUCUAAAAUAGGAAUGCUUAUUUGUUCAAAUUCAUCACGCUUAAUGAUUCCCUUCACAUCCUUCUCAUCCAUCAAACAUUCUAUGUUCAAAGGUGCCACAGGGUUUGCACUAAGGACUUUCUUAAGCUUCUCACAUGCAAUUCGGAGCCUAAGACAUGCCCUUGCAUUCUGGUAAACAUCUAUUUUGUAUUCGUCCUUGAAUUUUGCUGCAAAGUGAUGAAAUAGUACCUCAUCAAAAUCUCUGCCACCAAGAGACUGAUCAGAUGAAUGAGCCAACACUUUCAACUGCCCCUUCUUAAAGCCUGCUAUGCACACUUGCAUGCUUGCAUGUCCAAUAUCAACAAAUGCCACGUUCAACUGGUCAUUUUCAGGCAAAUCGGUUUUAUAAAUACCAUAAGCCAAUGCUGUCGCAGUAGUUUCAUGUAUCAAGCGAAGGGGAUGCAAUCCAGCAACUGUGGCUGCAUCCAAUACAGCCCUUCUCUGAAGGUCAGUAAAGUAAACUGGGAUUCCAAUGCAGCAAUCAACCACCGCUGCGUUGAGAUUAGUCUCGGCGAUGCCUUUCAGAUUCGAAAAUAGCAUCCCCAACAACUGAGUAGGUGUAAAUGUUUUCAACUCACCCAGGUAACGCACAUGAACUAAAGGAAAGCCAUCAGGCCCCUCGGAUACAGAAAAUGGCAAUGACUGAAGAUCCUUCUGCAAUCCAGGAUCGGAGAAUUUCCGCCCAAUCAAUCUCUUAACCUGAGAGACUGAAUUCUUGAUGUUCAUCAUGAUUGACGCCGCACCAGCUGUCCCAAUGAACCGCUGCUUGUCACCAAAGCUGACAAUAGCAGGAGUUUCUCGCUUGGAUUCAUCG